AAGAAUUUAGUUUAAUUUAAAAACAUUAAUUUGUCAAAUUAAAAAUACUAAUAAACAAGUAUUUCUUA
RNAcentral lists this transfer RNA (68 nucleotides) under Menida lata. RNAcentral describes it as "tRNA-Asp". The record is from RNAcentral. Lineage: Eukaryota; Metazoa; Arthropoda; Insecta; Hemiptera; Pentatomidae.